UACGUAGGGGGCAAGCGUUGUCCGGAAUCAUUGGGCGUAAAGAGCGCGUAGGCGGUCCGGUAAGUCGGUUGUGAAAACUGGGGGCUCAACCCUCAGAGGCCGACCGAUACUGCUGGGCUAGAGUCCGGAAGAGGCGAGUGGAAUUCCUGGUGUAGCGGUGAAAUGCGCAGAUAUCAGGAGGAACACCAAUAGCGAAGGCAGCUCGCUGGGACGUUACUGACACUGAGGCGCGAAAGCGUGGGGAGCGAACAGG
RNAcentral lists this ribosomal RNA (253 nucleotides) under uncultured bacterium. RNAcentral describes it as "partial 16S ribosomal RNA". It matches the Rfam family "Bacterial small subunit ribosomal RNA", at positions 524 to 776 of the family's 1533-position model. The record is from RNAcentral.